Molecule: non-coding RNA, 210 nt
Filed under: Pseudomonas sp. M30-35
Lineage: Bacteria; Pseudomonadati; Pseudomonadota; Gammaproteobacteria; Pseudomonadales; Pseudomonadaceae
Description: sRNA regulator of biofilms A
Rfam family: sRNA regulator of biofilms A
About the family: Bacterial strain with deleted SrbA had reduced biofilm mass. However, the deletion of srbA had no effect on growth or antibiotic resistance in P. aeruginosa.
Source: Rfam by way of RNAcentral
AUCAGGGGCUCUGGAAAGAGCUUCCGGGUUGAUCUCAGGCUUACCGCUCGAGUCGCCCGUGUUGUAAAAGCCCACAAGGCAGAUCGACGAGAUUGCGACUGGAACGAAGUUGUCCUGAGGGACGGGGAAGCGCUAUCAACCGGCAUGACCGUAACAGACACUGCAUCGCCCAAGACAUCCACGAGUCAAACGGCGAAAAAUGACCCGCUC